RNAcentral lists this ribosomal RNA (370 nucleotides) under uncultured organism. RNAcentral describes it as "bacterial SSU rRNA". It matches the Rfam family "Bacterial small subunit ribosomal RNA", at positions 526 to 896 of the family's 1533-position model. The record is from RNAcentral.
CGAAGGGGGCUAGCGUUGUUCGGAAUUACUGGGCGUAAAGCGUACGUAGGCGGAUUGUUAAGUGAGGGGUGAAAUCCCGAGGCUCAACCUCGGAACUGCCUUUCAUACUGGCAAUCUUGAGUCCGGGAGAGGUGAGUGGAACUCCUAGUGUAGAGGUGAAAUUCGUAGAUAUUAGGAAGAACACCAGUGGCGAAGGCGGCUCACUGGCCCGGAACUGACGCUGAGGUACGAAAGCGUGGGGAGCAAACAGGAUUAGAUACCCUGGUAGUCCACGCCGUAAACGAUGGAUGCUAGCCGUCGGGGAGCUUGCUCUUCGGUGGCGCAGCUAACGCAUUAAGCAUCCCGCCUGGGGAGUACGGUCGCAAGAUUA